CCAAAAUUUGCUUGCUUGGAUGGAGUAAUCCGUUCUGCAACAAAACCCCCCACUGCGUACCUGUACACUGUUGCUUCCGUCGGCCUGCGGGUCGCGGCGCCGCUCAGGCGGUGCCUGCGUCCCCCUCCGGUGCCUGACCGAAAGUGGUCGGCUGGGGAGCCGCCGGCGGAUAGCCAUAACCUUCAAACUCUGCACUUACGGUUGUACUUGUCUGAGCUUAGUUGCUAGAAAUGAAAACAAGUUA
RNAcentral lists this unclassified non-coding RNA (244 nucleotides) under uncultured fungus. Its description in RNAcentral is "sequence contains ITS1". Lineage: Eukaryota; Fungi. The record is from RNAcentral.